Long non-coding RNA from Canis lupus familiaris (dog), 389 nucleotides. RefSeq lists it as uncharacterized. The transcript has 3 exons. Lineage: Eukaryota; Metazoa; Chordata; Mammalia; Carnivora; Canidae. The record is from RefSeq and is a predicted model, not a curated record.
ACAAAACCAUGACUCAUGGUGAACAUUCCCGGGCCCUGAGGUGGACGUGGUCACACACACGCACAGCCCAGGCUCACGCACGCACACGCACGGUGCCAGGGGAACUUGGACUCCGUUAUCUGGCCGUCAUGUCCUGGUCUUUCCCAAACUACAACAGAGAAUUAGAAGCCAACUCUAUUAAAAAAUAUGGAUGUGACUGCAACUGGCUAGAAGUCGAAAUUUCCUAGAUGCAAAUUCACGGACGUAUGCGGGUCUGCCUACAUUACAAUAAUCUGAGAAAGUGUUGUAAAAAUAGAUGCCCUCAUCCCAGUCUGCACUUUUUAUUUUUUUCACCCCCAGCUCUAGAGAUUUUGAUUCAGCAUGUCAAGAGUGGGGUCUGGAAAUGUUAC